UACGUAGGGUGCAAGCGUUAAUCGGAAUUACUGGGCGUAAAGCGUGCGUAGGCGGCUUGGCAAGUCAGAUGUGAAAUCCCCGGGCUUAACCUGGGAACUGCAUUUGUGACUGCAUGGCUGGAGUGCGGCAGAGGGGGAUGGAAUUCCGCGUGUAGCAGUGAAAUGCGUAGAUAUGCGGAGGAACACCGAUGGCGAAGGCAAUCCCCUGGGCCUGCACUGACGCUGAUGCACGAAAGCGUGGGGAGCAAACAGG
Molecule: ribosomal RNA, 253 nt
Filed under: uncultured bacterium
Lineage: Bacteria
Description: partial 16S ribosomal RNA
Rfam family: Bacterial small subunit ribosomal RNA
Source: RNAcentral